Long non-coding RNA from Cucurbita maxima (winter squash), 584 nucleotides. RefSeq lists it as uncharacterized. The transcript is spliced from 3 exons. The record is from RefSeq and is a predicted model, not a curated record. Lineage: Eukaryota; Viridiplantae; Streptophyta; Magnoliopsida; Cucurbitales; Cucurbitaceae.
AACCCUCAAAGCUGGGGCUUGUCACUGAUGCAAUGGUUGAGAGGUACUUCUCUAGGAUUGAAGACGAAGAGUGGGAAGACCUAAAGCUCCCUGCAAGACUCAACUUGCCUGCUUCAGCCACUUCAAAGCUCUAGUUACCAUGAGUUUGCAACUUACUCAGAGGGAAGGAAAUAUCACAUCAUCCAUCCACAGAUACCGCUUAAGCUGUGAUAAAGGUCGGAAUCAAGCAUAUACUUCCCAACUUUGAGUUCCAAUGAAAGGGAACAAACCUUCAGCAGUGAAGGAAAUGUGAAUCUAUCAGCAACAUUUCUCGACCAUUGAAGCAUCUCAAAGUAACUUUGGAGUGCCCUUCUCGGCCUGUUGGAAUUCACAAGGCCUCUCAACAUGGUGUUCCAAGUAAGUAUAUCCAACUCUUGAGUGUGUGAAAAAACUGAAUAACCAUAGGCAAGACCAGGCGAGCCCAUUGAGAGGACAUGAGCAAUGAGCUCGUUAAGUGAAUGGCUUAUGGUGGAUGAAGCCAGUAACUACCAUUUGUGCAUGAAAUUGCUGAAAUUUUGUUGAUUGUGUCCAUUUUGUUGCUUCUU